AGAAGGGGCCGCUUUGGGCCGGGCUGCGCCCUGCACUGUGAUUGCGGGGGUGGGGCCGACUGCGACCCCAUCAGUGGGCAGUGCCACUGUGUGGACAGCUACAUGGGACCCACUUGCCGGGAAGUGCCCACACAGAUAUCCUCUAGCAGACCAGCACCCCAGCACCCCAGCAGCAGGGCCAUGAAGCACUAAAUCAGAGGAACGCCCACAGAUGUCCACUACCCAGCCCAAGGGACCCAGGUCUCUGCUGGAGACUGAGAAGACGCAGGUGGGACGUCUGAGUCCACGCCUCUCCUGGAAAGCCAUGGAUCUCUGUGGACAGCUUUAGAUCGUCACGCAGCCACACAUCAGGGCUCUGUGGUCAUGGGGAAGAAGGCCUCCUCUGGACAUAAGGAAUCCAGGGAAGUGGACUGGGCCUCAGGCCGAUGUUUACAUGGGGACCCUGCAGGCUGCCCUGUGGAAUCCUGGCUCUCUUCAGGGAUCUGGGGUGGGGAUAAGCAAGGCCCCACCUGCCUGCUAGGUCCUUCUGGUGCUAAGCCAUGGACUGCUGCGGCCAGCCAACUGUUUACCUGGAAAUGUAGUCCAGUCUGUAUUUAUGUAAGGUAUUUAUGGGCAAUUCCACAUGCCGUUAUGGCCCUGGGUUGGCUGGAAGCUGCCUGAUCUCAGAACUCAGGCAGAAGGCUUUGGGGGUGGGGGGCUGCCAGCAAGCGGGAUUAAGGGUUUUGUAAAACCCAGUGAGUUAAAGGCACAGUGGUGUCCUCA
Molecule: long non-coding RNA, 762 nt
Organism: Rattus rattus (black rat)
Lineage: Eukaryota; Metazoa; Chordata; Mammalia; Rodentia; Muridae
Exons: 2
Source: RefSeq, a predicted model, not a curated record